GAGAUGAGAUGCUGGUGAGAGAGAACGAGGCAGGAAAAGGAGAGAAGGAAUACUAAAUAUAUUUUUCCAUUUAUGUGAUGAAUGUGUUCACAGUACACAAACCAUAGUGUGUGUGGUAGUAAAGAGGAGCAGCACUAGAGGCAUUUUCCAUAGACUGAAGGCAAGAAGGUGGAGGAGGGGUGCUUUUAAGUAAAGACAGCUAAGGUGAAUCCUGAACCGCCAGAAGUAGACAACCAAGUGAAAGAAGGGGAAAGCGUUCCAGACAGAGGUGGGGGAGAAUCUGCAAAGGCACUGAGACCCAAGAAGUCACUGGUUCCUCGGGAGUACAUGUGUUCAAUAAGACUGAAAUCUAUGGUAUAUGGUGAAGGAACUGGGAAAAAACGUGGCCCUGGAGAUAUAAAGAGGAUGGGCCCUAAAUCCAAUGACCAGUGCCCCUACGAGGAGAGGGAGAUUUGAAGACACAAAAGAAACAGGGAAGA
Molecule: long non-coding RNA, 479 nt
Filed under: Equus caballus (horse)
Lineage: Eukaryota; Metazoa; Chordata; Mammalia; Perissodactyla; Equidae
Description: lncRNA (ENSECAG00000053973.1)
Source: RNAcentral